AAUUCGAUGCAACGCGAAGAACUUACCUGGUCUUGACAUCCCGGAGACCCUUAGGAAACUAGGGGGUGCUUCCAUCUGGAAGAAUCUGGAGACAGGUGCUGCAUGGCUGUCGUCAGCUCGUGUCGUGAGAUGUUGGGUUAAGUCCCGCAACGAGCGCAACCCUUGCCUUUAGUUGCCAGCAGUUCGGCUGGGCACUCUAAAGGGACUGCCGGUGUUAAACCGGAGGAAGGUGGGGAUGACGUCAAGUCCUCAUGGCCUUUAUGACCAGGGCUACACACGUACUACAAUGGCCGAUACAAAGGGCAGCGACACUGCGAGGUGAAGCCAAUCCCGUAAAAUCGGUCUCAGUCCGGAUUGCAGUCUGCAACUCGACUGCAUGAAGUUGGAAUCGCUAGUAAUCGCGGAUCAGCCAAGCCGCGGUGAAUACGUUCCCGGGCCUU
This 440-nucleotide ribosomal RNA is filed under the name uncultured Desulfobulbus sp. RNAcentral's name for it is "bacterial SSU rRNA". It matches the Rfam family "Bacterial small subunit ribosomal RNA", at positions 948 to 1382 of the family's 1533-position model. Lineage: Bacteria; Pseudomonadati; Thermodesulfobacteriota; Desulfobulbia; Desulfobulbales; Desulfobulbaceae. The record is from RNAcentral.